CAAAAACAUGUCUAUAUGAAGUUGAAUAAAGUCUAGUCUGCCCAUUGAAUAAAAUUUAAAAGGCCGCAGUAUCCUAACUGUGCAAAGGUAGCAUAAUCAUUAGUUUUUUAAUUGGAGGCUUGUAUGAACGAUUGGACAAGAGCUAAACUGUCUUUUUUUUAACUAGUUGAAUUUUAUUUCUGAGUGAAAAAGCUUAGAUAAAUGAGAGGGACGAUAAGACCCUAUAAAUCUUUAUAAAAGUUUAUUUUUAAAAUAAAAUAUUUAUUUAAUAUGUUUUAGAAAUAUAAUUUUAUUGUACUGGGGCGGUAUUAAUAUAAAAUAAACUGUUAAUAAAUUAAACAAAUAUAUUUGAUAUUAAAUGAUCCUUAUUAUAGAUUAAAAGAGAAAGUUACUUUAGGGAUAACAGCAUAAUUUUUUUUGAGAGUUCAGAUCGAAAAAAAAGUUUGUGACCUCGAUGUUGAAUUAAGAAUUCCUUAUGGUGCAGCAGUUAUAGAGGAAAGUCUGUUCGACUUUUAAAUUUUUACAUGAUUUGA
This 533-nucleotide ribosomal RNA is filed under the name Pachycheles serratus. RNAcentral describes it as "partial 16S ribosomal RNA". It matches the Rfam family "Bacterial large subunit ribosomal RNA", at positions 1808 to 2608 of the family's 2925-position model. The record is from RNAcentral. Lineage: Eukaryota; Metazoa; Arthropoda; Malacostraca; Decapoda; Porcellanidae.